GUGGAUGCUGAGCACUGGUGAGCUCAAGCGGCUGUAACCCGCCCGCUUCGGCUGUGGAGGUUCGAAUCCUCCCGUCCACA
Chondromyces crocatus is the source of this 80-nucleotide transfer RNA. It matches the Rfam family "tRNA". Rfam says of the family: Transfer RNA (tRNA) molecules are approximately 80 nucleotides in length. Their secondary structure includes four short double-helical elements and three loops (D, anti-codon, and T loops). The record is from Rfam. Lineage: Bacteria; Pseudomonadati; Myxococcota; Polyangiales; Polyangiaceae.